RNAcentral lists this ribosomal RNA (253 nucleotides) under uncultured bacterium. Its description in RNAcentral is "partial 16S ribosomal RNA". It matches the Rfam family "Bacterial small subunit ribosomal RNA", at positions 524 to 776 of the family's 1533-position model. The record is from RNAcentral.
UACAGAGGGUGCAAGCGUUGUUCGGAAUUAUUGGGCGUAAAGCGCGUGUAGGCGGCUUUGCAAGUCGGGUGUGAAAGCCCUCAGCUCAACUGAGGAAGUGCGCCCGAAACUGCAGAGCUUGAGUGCCGGAGAGGGUGGCGGAAUUCCCCAAGUAGAGGUGAAAUUCGUAGAUAUCAAGCGGAACACCGGUGGCGAAGGCGGCCUUCUGGACAGUGACUGACGCUGAGACGCGAAAGCGUGGGGAGCAAACAGG